This 369-nucleotide ribosomal RNA is filed under the name uncultured bacterium. Its description in RNAcentral is "bacterial SSU rRNA". It matches the Rfam family "Bacterial small subunit ribosomal RNA", at positions 28 to 393 of the family's 1533-position model. The record is from RNAcentral.
GAUGAACGCUAGCGGCAGGCUUAAUACAUGCAAGUCGUGGGGCAGCGCAGUGUAGCAAUACAUGGGCGGCGACCGGCAAACGGGUGCGGAACACGUACACAACCUUCCUUCAAAUGGGGAAUAGCCCAGGGAAACUUGGAUUAAUACCCCGUAACAUUAUGAGGUGGCAUCACUUUAUAAUUAUAGCUCCGGCGUUUGGAGAUGGGUGUGCGGCUGAUUAGGUAGUUGGCGGGGAACGGCCACCAAGCCUUCCGAUCAGUAACUGGUGUGAGAGCACGACCAGUCACACGGGCACUGAGACACGGGCCCGACUCCUACGGGAGGCAGCAGUAAGGAAUAUUGGGCAAUGGACGCAAGUCUGACCCAGCA